This 519-nucleotide long non-coding RNA is filed under the name Brassica napus (rape). RNAcentral describes it as "long non-coding RNA (BNAP_LNC012939)". Lineage: Eukaryota; Viridiplantae; Streptophyta; Magnoliopsida; Brassicales; Brassicaceae. The record is from RNAcentral.
CGCCUUUGUAGUUUGUACCACCCAGUGGCUCCAACCACUGGCUCGCCUUCUCCACAGCGGCCUGUUUGCGCCGCUCCGCCAAGCCGCUGGUGAGUUCGCGUCUUUCCGAGCGACGUCCAGUGACCAUUGUCAUUGAUCGCUGCAGACCCGCUAAGAGGUGAGCUCCGACUUCUUCUUCUUCACCUUGUCCACACUCGAUCUGCGACCUUUCCACCAUUAGAGCACCGGUCCAAGCUCUUCGAUCAACAGAAACCUUUUGUCAUCACCUCAAUCUCGCCAUCGUAGCUUCCAAUCCGAUCAUGGCCUCCUUCCCCGAAACCUCCAUAGUCGUGAGUCUACAAUCUGCCAGCUUCUCCUCUUGUCUCUCUCAGCUUCAAGUCGUCCUCGUGGCUGAGCUCGAGUCGUGGUAGCCUGUCCCGAAGCUCCGGAGUCGUUGCCUCUCGCCGUCGCGACCAUCUUCAGAUUGAAAAGCUUGGGAGUUCCACAAUGGUGGAUUUUCGAUUAUUUUCACAGUUGACC